GCGUGGAGCAUGUGGCUUAAUUUGACUCAACGCGGGAAAUCUUACCGGGUCCGGACACACUGAGGAUUGACAGGCAAUAUAUGUGACUCUUCGGAGUUUGCAUUGUUAAAUAUGCUAGUCCUUUCAUGAUUAUGUGAUAGGUGGUGCAUGGCCGUUCUUAGUUCGUGGAGUGAUCUGUCUGCUUAAUUGCGUUUCAAAUUACUUAUAAGGUAGCAAUACGCGAUGAAGCUUUCAAUAGUCCUCACGGAUUCACUUGAGUCUCUCGCUUCGCUAUCCUUUCGAAUGCAACGAACGUGACCGCAACCUCUUGUUGCCUUCGUUUAACAUCCUGCAGCUCGCUGUGGGUACUGAGGGCUUCACUCGGUGACUUUGGGCUGAGCAAUCGGUCUUUUGAUCUGAGUAAACUANAGGGACCGCUGUCAACUUCUUAAACCANAGGAAGGUUGCGGCAAUAACAGGUCUGUG
This 465-nucleotide ribosomal RNA is filed under the name Globigerinita uvula. RNAcentral's name for it is "bacterial SSU rRNA". It matches the Rfam family "Eukaryotic small subunit ribosomal RNA", at positions 1174 to 1466 of the family's 1831-position model. Lineage: Eukaryota; Foraminifera; Rotaliida; Globigerinitidae. The record is from RNAcentral.